UGGGGAAUUUUGGACAGUGGGGGCAACCCUGAUCCAGCCAUCCCGCGUGUGCGAUGAAGGCCUUCGGGUUGUAAAGCACUUUUGGCAGGGAAGAAACAGCCUGGGAUAAUACCCCGGGCGACUGACGGUACCUGCAGAAUAAGCACCGGCUAACUACGUGCCAGCAGCCGCGGUAAUACGUAGGGUGCAAGCGUUAAUCGGAAUUACUGGGCGUAAAGCGUGCGCAGGCGGUUCGGAAAGAAAGGUGUGAAAUCCCAGGGCUUAACCUUGGAACUGCACUUUUAACUACCGAGCUAGAGUACGUCAGAGGGGGGUAGAAUUCCACGUGUAGCAGUGAAAUGCGUAGAGAUGUGGAGGAAUACCGAUGGCGAAGGCAGCCCCCUGGGAUGAUACUGACGCUCAUGCACGAAAGCGUGGGGAGCAAACAGGAUUAGAUACCCUGGUAGUCCACGCCCUAAACGAUGUCAACUAGCUGUUGGGGGUUUAAUUAACCUUAGUAGCGCAGCUAACGCAUUAAGCGCCCCGCCUGGGGAGUACGG
This 539-nucleotide ribosomal RNA is filed under the name uncultured bacterium. Its description in RNAcentral is "partial 16S ribosomal RNA". It matches the Rfam family "Bacterial small subunit ribosomal RNA", at positions 355 to 885 of the family's 1533-position model. The record is from RNAcentral.